Molecule: ribosomal RNA, 1346 nt
Filed under: uncultured bacterium
Lineage: Bacteria
Description: bacterial SSU rRNA
Rfam family: Bacterial small subunit ribosomal RNA
Source: RNAcentral
GGACGAACGCUGGCGGCGUGCCUAACACAUGCAAGUCGAGCGGAGGUAUUCAAGGAGCAAUCUGCGGAUACUUUAGCGGCGGACGGGUGAGUAACGCGUGAGCAACCUGCCUUUCACAGGGGGAUAAGGCGGCGAAAGCCGCUCUAAUACCGCAUGAGACCCCGGUGGUGAUACCACAGCGGUCAAAGGAGCAAUCCGGUGAGAGAUGGGCUCGCGUCCGAUUAGGUAGUUGGUGGGGUAAAGGCUCACCAAGCCAAUGAUCGGUAGCCGGCCUGAGAGGGUGAACGGCCACAUUGGAACUGAGAGACGGUCCAAACUCCUACGGGAGGCAGCAGUGGGGAAUAUUGGGCAAUGGGGGAAACCCUGACCCAGCAACGCCGCGUGAGGGAAGAAGGUUUUCGGAUUGUAAACCUCUGUUCUUGGGGAAGAGCAGAAGACGGUACCCAAGGAGGAAGCCCCGGCUAACUACGUGCCAGCAGCCGCGGUAAUACGUAGGGGGCGAGCGUUGUCCGGAAUGAUUGGGCGUAAAGGGCGCGUAGGCGGCUGUGUAAGUCAGUAGUGGAAGUCCAGCUUUUAAGGUUGGAAGUGCUAUUGAAACUGUGCAGCUUGAGUGCAGGAGAGGUUAUCGGAAUUCCCGGUGUAGCGGUGAAAUGCGUAGAGAUCGGGAGGAACACCAGUGGCGAAGGCGGGUAACUGGACUGCAACUGACGCUGAGGCGCGAAAGUGUGGGGAGCAAACAGGAUUAGAUACCCUGGUAGUCCACACUGUAAACGAUGAAUGCUAGGUGUAGGGGGUAUCGACCCCUUCUGUGCCGGAGUAAACACAAUAAGCAUUCCGCCUGGGGAGUACGGUCGCAAGAUUAAAACUCAAAGGAAUUGACGGGGGCCCGCACAAGCAGCGGAGCAUGUGGUUUAAUUCGAAGCAACGCGAAGAACCUUACCAGGUCUUGACAUCCAGGUAAAGCUGCAGAGAUGCAGUGUGUGCUUGCACAAUCUGAGACAGGUGGUGCAUGGUUGUCGUCAGCUCGUGUCGUGAGAUGUUGGGUUAAGUCCCGCAACGAGCGCAACCCCUAUUGCCAGUUGCUAACAGGAGAGCUGAGCACUCUGGCGAGACUGCCGCCGACAAGGCGGAGGAAGGUGGGGAUGACGUCAAGUCAUCAUGGCCUUUAUGCCCAGGGCUACACACGUGCUACAAUGGCCGGCACAGACGGCAGCUUAGUGGCGACACUUGGCCAAUCCUCCAAAGCCGGUCCCAGUUCGGAUUGCAGUCUGCAACUCGACUGCAUGAAGUCGGAAUCGCUAGUAAUCGCAGAUCAGCAAAGCUGCGGUGAAUACGUUCCCGGGCCU